GUCUGCGUGGAGCCAACCUUGAAAUACCACCCUUUAAUGUUUGAUGUUCUAACGUGGACCCGUAAUCCGGGUUGCGGACAGUGUCUGGUGGGUAGUUUGACUGGGGCGGUCUCCUCCUAAAGAGUAACGGAGGAGCACGAAGGUUGGCUAAUCCUGGUCGGACAUCAGGAGGUUAGUGCAAUGGCAUAAGCCAGCUUGACUGCGAGCGUGACGGCGCGAGCAGGUGCGAAAGCAGGUCAUAGUGAUCCGGUGGUUCUGAAUGGAAGGGCCAUCGCUCAACGGAUAAAAGGUACUCCGGGGAUAACAGGCUGAUACCGCCCAAGAGUUCAUAUCGACGGCGGUGUUUGGCACCUCGAUGUCGGCUCAUCACAUCCUGGGGCUGAAGUAGGUCCCAAGGGUAUGGCUGUUCGCCAUUUAAAGUGGUACGCGAGCUGGGUUUAGAACGUCGUGAGACAGUUCGGUCCCUAUCUGCCGUGGGCGCUGGAGAACUGAGGGGGGCUGCUCCUAGUACGAGAGGACCGGAGUGGACGCAUCACUGGUGUUCGGGUUGUCAUGCCAAUGGCACUGCCCGGUAGCUAAAUGCGGAAGAGAUAAGUGCUGAAAGCAUCUAAGCACGAAACUUGCCCCGAG
Molecule: ribosomal RNA, 630 nt
Filed under: Salmonella enterica
Lineage: Bacteria; Pseudomonadati; Pseudomonadota; Gammaproteobacteria; Enterobacterales; Enterobacteriaceae
Description: partial 23S ribosomal RNA
Rfam family: Bacterial large subunit ribosomal RNA
Source: RNAcentral